RNAcentral lists this ribosomal RNA (502 nucleotides) under uncultured bacterium. RNAcentral's name for it is "partial 16S ribosomal RNA". It matches the Rfam family "Bacterial small subunit ribosomal RNA", at positions 899 to 1397 of the family's 1533-position model. The record is from RNAcentral.
ACUCAAAUGAAUUGACGGGGGCUCGCACAAGCGGUGGAGCAUGCGGUUUAAUUCGAUGUUACGCGAAAAACCUUACCAACCCUUGACAUGGUAGUUAUGAAUCGCAGAGAUGCUUUUCUUCAGUUCGGCUGGGCUACACACAGGUGUUGCAUGGCUGUCGUCAGCUCGUGUCGUGAGAUAUUGGGUUAAGUCCCGCAACGAGCGCAACCCUCAUCCUUAUUUGCCAGCGAGUUAUGUCGGGAACUAUGAGGAAACUGCCGGUGAUAAGCCGGAGGAAGGUGGGGACGAUGUCAAGUCAUCAUGGCCCUUAUGGGUUGGGCUACACGCGUGCUACAAUGGUGUUUACAGAGGGAAGCAAUACGGCGACGUGGAGCAAAUCCCUAAAAAACAUCUCAGUUCGGAUUGCUCUCUGCAACUCGAGAGCAUGAAGUUGAAAUCGCUAGUAAUCGCGGAUCAGCAUGCCGCGGUGAAUACGUUCUCGGGCCUUGUACACACCGCCCGU